This 730-nucleotide long non-coding RNA is filed under the name Pan troglodytes (chimpanzee). RNAcentral's name for it is "long non-coding RNA NONPTRT008576". Lineage: Eukaryota; Metazoa; Chordata; Mammalia; Primates; Hominidae. The record is from RNAcentral.
GGGAGGGGCUGGGCAUUAGGCCAGGCCAGAAGGACCAGGGACUACAAACUCACCUUCAGGGCUCCUAAGCUGCUGCGGAGCUAGACGGCGGGCUGUGGGUGGGGAGGAGACUAGAAUAUUCUGAGACGGGGUCAGGUGGGAGUUGGGAGAGGUAACGUGGAGUUGCUGCCCAAGAUGCAGCUCAGCUCCAGUGGCCACACCAAGACGGUUUAAGACCGAGAGCGGAACCAGGGAGGUUGUUUUUGGUGGCUGGGGGCUUGGGUUUGAGUUCCUUGAACAGCAGAGGGUGCUUGGAUUUAGGGAGGUGAGGCUGGGAAGGGUUCGGGUAUGAGGAAGGAAGCUGAAGUUCCCUGGCGUGGGUGGCAGGAAGGGCUCUAACCCUGGGGCGGGGUGUGAGGGCCGUGGCCGUUAUGGCUGUCGAGGCCGAAGGAGAGGGAUUCUGAACUCGGGACCCAGGGCUUGGGAUGGGGUAUGAAAUCUAUGUCUUGGGUAUGCCUCCUCCCCCAAUCUUGCUCAGGCUCUAAUUGCCUGGACGAAGAACCCCGAGCUGUCUGGCCGGCCUUUCACAGUAUCCGACCGGGGCGUCCUGGACCGCCGCCAGCUCUAUCUGACCACCUCGGCGCGGGACUUUCGGUUCUAUCCCAAGACGGAGCUGUCCGGAUACCCCCGCAAGGACUCCCUGACCUACUGGAGCUUCGAAGAGACGCCCCAGGUCUGGAGCCACGGCCCG